Molecule: non-coding RNA, 368 nt
Organism: Callithrix jacchus (white-tufted-ear marmoset)
Lineage: Eukaryota; Metazoa; Chordata; Mammalia; Primates; Cebidae
Source: RefSeq, a predicted model, not a curated record
AAGAAACAGGGUCUUGCUCUGUCACCCAGCCUGGAGUGCAGUGAUGUGAUCACAUCUCAUUGCAUCCUUGAACUCCUGCCUGCCAGCGAUCCUCCUGCUUUGGCCUCCCAAAGUGCUGGGAUUACAGACGGAGUCUUGUGCUGCUGCCCAGGCCAGAGUGCAUUGGCAUGAACUCAGCUCACCGCAACCUCUGCGUCCUGGAUUCAAGUGAUUCUCCUCCCUCAGGCUCCCAAGUAGCUGGGAUUAUGGGCUACUAAGCCCGGCUAAAUUUUUUAUUUUUUAUUAUUUUUAGUAGAGAUAAGCUUGCACCAUAUCUUUAGUCUUGCCUUUAUUCUUAAGAAACAUACACAUCUGUGUGAAUCUCCUAA